UACGUAGGGUCCAAGCGUUAUCCGGAAUCACUGGGCGUAAAGCGUGCGUAGGUGGCGCGUAAGUGUGAUGUUAAAUCGCGGGGCUCAACCCUGUCGAUGCAUCGCAUACUGGCGUGCUAGAGGGAAGCAGAGGCAAGUGGAAUUGGUAGUGUAGCAGUGAAAUGCGUAGAUAUUACCAGGAACACCAAUGGCGAAGGCAGCUUGGCUGGGCUUCUUCUGACACUGAGGUACGAAAGCGUGGGGAGCGAACAGG
This 253-nucleotide ribosomal RNA is filed under the name uncultured bacterium. RNAcentral describes it as "partial 16S ribosomal RNA". It matches the Rfam family "Bacterial small subunit ribosomal RNA", at positions 524 to 776 of the family's 1533-position model. The record is from RNAcentral.